This 289-nucleotide long non-coding RNA is filed under the name Phoenix dactylifera (date palm). RNAcentral's name for it is "long non-coding RNA (PDAC_LNC007368)". Lineage: Eukaryota; Viridiplantae; Streptophyta; Magnoliopsida; Arecales; Arecaceae. The record is from RNAcentral.
CCUUGUCUGCAGGUCAAAGAGGGGGAAAGGGGUUCCAAUGGGGUGAAUGGGGAUUUGGGUUUUAGGGAGGGGCGAUGGGCGGUGAGGAGGAUGGAGGAGCGUGUUGCAGCGGCGACGAUGGCGGAUGGCAUAGUGGCGGCGAAGGGAGGGCGGAAGCUUCGGCGGCGUUGAUGGUGAAGGCCGAGGGCGGUGGCCGCAGUCGGGGAAGCGCUGCGGUGGAGGUCUCGAGCGAUGGCGGAAGGCGGACGGCUUAGCGGCGAACGAUGGGGCGGCAAACCGCGGUGGAAGA